UACAGAGGUCUCGAGCGUUGUUCGGAUUCAUUGGGCGUAAAGGGUGCGUAGGUGGCGCUGUAGGUCGGGUGUGAAAUCCUGAGGCUUAACCUCGGAACUGCAUUCGAUACUGCGGCGCUUGAGGACUGGAGAGGAGACUGGAAUUCAUGGUGUAGCAGUGAAAUGCGUAGAGAUCAUGAGGAAGACCAGUGGCGAAGGCGGGUCUCUGGACAGUUCCUGACACUGAGGCACGAAGGCCAGGGGAGCAAACGGG
RNAcentral lists this ribosomal RNA (253 nucleotides) under uncultured bacterium. RNAcentral's name for it is "partial 16S ribosomal RNA". It matches the Rfam family "Bacterial small subunit ribosomal RNA", at positions 524 to 776 of the family's 1533-position model. The record is from RNAcentral.